Molecule: long non-coding RNA, 1025 nt
Organism: Melospiza melodia melodia
Lineage: Eukaryota; Metazoa; Chordata; Aves; Passeriformes; Passerellidae
Exons: 5
Source: RefSeq, a predicted model, not a curated record
CAUGUUCCUCACUGUACCACAGUUCUGCUGUUGACCUUUGUGCACAUCCCAGCAGAGGUGGCCAACUGCAGCAGGAGCACUCCUUCAGUUUUUUGCUUGUUAGGGACAAUCCAGAGACCUGCAUCUUCGAGGGAAAAAGCAGAAGUGGUGCUGGAGGUUGCAGGCACCCGGGGAUCUCCUGGGCAGAGCACUCUGCAAUCCUACUGCAAAAGAGCUUCUCCCCAGCCUGUGCUAGUGAGACAAGUGCCUCAGUUUAGCAACACGGGUCUAAUUCCCAGGAAUCUGAGCCAUAGAGGACAUCCAGUGUCUUGGACCUGGGUCACAAUGCAAUUAAAUCUGUCAGCCAAGUGCCAGUUACAGAAAGAAUAAUCACCCUGAUGGAGACCUUCACCUCAAGUAAAGGACCCAGCCUUGCAAAGACAGCAACUGCCACUGAAAUCAAUGGAUCCAGAAUAGAAGAUGAAGACCAGAAGCAAGAGUGCAAGGAAGCUUCUCACACACACGAGGCAGAAAUGCAUUUCUCUAAGUGUAGAAACACAUGAGCAAAGGCAAUACUUCUGCUGCAAUUGCUGCUCUGCUUCCAGGGCUGAGACCAUGCAUUAACAAAGGCCUGCCAGGAGAUUGCUGAGACCCUGAGAGCACUACCCCCAUUCUACGGCUUUAAAGGACAGUUGGCUGUGUUCAAGGUCAGCUUGGCCAUUGAUAAGAGCCGUUGCAAACAAAAGAAGUCUCUGCCCAGGCCUGCCCCUCUCUCUCUCAAGAGCUGCUUUGAUGCCAAGGGUGACCCCUUGCCCCCAGCUGAGUCAGACUGCACUGCAGCUGUGUCUGAUACCUCCUCAGCCCAGGCCUGAUCCUCACCUCGUGGCUUCACCUUAGGCCUGAUUUAUCACUCCAAAUAUCCCUAAGCUGAGCAUGACCCUGAUCAAUAAGGCGGCGAACAAGUGGAUCAGCUAAAAAAUCCAUGUGCUUCUCCUUACACAGGAAAGAUUCUGCAGCUAUGAUUUACAAGGAUUAAGACUUCUCCU